CAAAAUUACAGGUCCGCUUUGCUAACUGAUGCUCACUUCGUUACAGUUCAUGGUGGGGGUGAGUAAAUGUAAACUUCAAAGCUUUUGCUCAGCUCAAACUAUCAAGGGUUCCUCCUGGCAAAACGGCCAGCUACACCAGCGACCUACGAGUAGAUCAGCGUCUCUUCUUGCUUGCUUUCGAGCUGCUCUUCGAUGGGCUCGCGACCAGGUAGAUAAACAGUCCCACGAACGAGACAACAGACACCAGUGACCCGUAUUUCAUCACAAGCCUCUGUAUCAUGGAUAGCGAUUUGUUAGCAUCCCACUCAAACGAAUGCUAGAAACAUACUUGAGAGCAGCUGAUUUAGAUGGACUUGUAAAAUUGACUGUAACUGAAGGAAAGAAAGAAAAUACCUUAGCCUGAACAUAGCAGGAGAGAAAAUUCGGAUUUCCACACACGGGAGUAGCACCGGAAACAGUAUCCAAACAUCAGUGUCCAAAAGAAACAUAAACUAGGAUGUGAAUGCAAUGGCAUGAUUACUUACCCAUUCAAACUUCUUCUCCGGAGGUCUCUCAGCGAGAAUAUCC
Molecule: long non-coding RNA, 567 nt
Filed under: Setaria italica (foxtail millet)
Lineage: Eukaryota; Viridiplantae; Streptophyta; Magnoliopsida; Poales; Poaceae
Description: long non-coding RNA (SITA_LNC002479)
Source: RNAcentral